RNAcentral lists this long non-coding RNA (394 nucleotides) under Daucus carota (carrot). Its description in RNAcentral is "long non-coding RNA (DCAR_LNC006606)". The record is from RNAcentral. Lineage: Eukaryota; Viridiplantae; Streptophyta; Magnoliopsida; Apiales; Apiaceae.
AGGGAAAGAGUAAGGUCAACAAGGGCAAGGGUAUAGUGUGAAGCUGUAUCGAGAUGAAGGGUCCGAUGGCUAGUUUCCGUGGCGAGAGUGUUUAUAUUUUCUUAGUCAUUUGUAACAAUGAACUUAUUAUUGUAAUAAUAUUCUGAAUUAGUUUUAAGUGGAUAAUUGACCCCAAACUUGUGGGGUGAGUUAUGUAAUGUAAGACAGGUACUAUGCCGAAAUUGUGUGACAGCCUGUAUCCGAGAGAUACGGAUUUGGGGGUGUUACAUUAUAGAUAUUUGAUGAAUUAAGAAUUUUGGAUCAAUUUCAAAUGUAAUAUUAACUGAUAUAAUAUUUAAAUUUAUUAUUUAAUAUAAUAAUAUUCGAAGGCUUUGUUGAAAUAAAAUAAACACAU